AUGGACGUGGCCGAGUGGUUAAGGCAAUAGACUAGAAAUCUUUUGGGAUCUUCCCGCGCAGGUUCAGAUCCUUCCGACAACG
RNAcentral lists this transfer RNA (82 nucleotides) under Dreissena polymorpha. It matches the Rfam family "tRNA". From Rfam's summary of the family: Transfer RNA (tRNA) molecules are approximately 80 nucleotides in length. Their secondary structure includes four short double-helical elements and three loops (D, anti-codon, and T loops). Lineage: Eukaryota; Metazoa; Mollusca; Bivalvia; Myida; Dreissenidae. The record is from Rfam by way of RNAcentral.